Oncorhynchus mykiss (rainbow trout) is the source of this 255-nucleotide non-coding RNA. Lineage: Eukaryota; Metazoa; Chordata; Actinopteri; Salmoniformes; Salmonidae. The record is from RefSeq and is a predicted model, not a curated record.
GUACACCUGAGUCACAACAUAUUAUAAACCCACACCAACCAUACCUGGAGGACACACAGGUAGUCAAGUACACCUGAGUCACAACAUAUUAUAAACCCACACCAACCAUACCUGGAGGAGACACAGGUAGUCAAGUACACCUGAGUCACAACAUAUUAUAAACCCACACCAACCAUACCUGGAGGAGACACAGGUAGUCAAGUACACCUGAGUCACAUCAUAUUAUAAACCCACACCAACCAUACCUGGAGGAGA